Molecule: long non-coding RNA, 312 nt
Organism: Syngnathus acus (greater pipefish)
Lineage: Eukaryota; Metazoa; Chordata; Actinopteri; Syngnathiformes; Syngnathidae
Exons: 3
Source: RefSeq, a predicted model, not a curated record
UGCACUGACUCGAUCGAUUUUGAUCUUGUGCCUCUUUUGACUAGCAAGUGCGUUUAAACCGAAAGCGGAAGGGCACAGCAUAGCUCGUCUCCAAUGCUAAGCGGAAUUGUUACUUCAUUGUGGUCUUGUAUUGAAAUUUAUUACAUUGAGGCUGGUCGGUGUAUGGCCCUACUGGAUGUAGACUACACUCAAGUGGAAGGUGACAUCAUUACGUUACCAUCGACCAGGUCUGUGGGCCACAUGGUGGCGAAGUUGAAGAAGGUUAAUGAGGUAGAAGAGGACACCUGAUGAGGGGGAUGUCCUGGAUAGUGC